GACGAACGCUGGCGGCGUGCCUAACACAUGCAAGUCGAACGGAACGCUUAUCAUUGAGACUUCGGUUGAUUUGAUAAGUUGUUUAGUGGCGGACGGGUGAGUAACGCGUGAGUAACCUGCCUUUAAGAGGGGGAUAACAUACCGAAAGGUAUGCUAAUACCGCAUGACAUAUUGGGAUCGCAUGUUUUCGAUAUCAAAGAUUUUAUCGCUUAAAGAUGGACUCGCGUCCGAUUAGAUAGUUGGUGAGGUAACGGCUCACCAAGUCGACGAUCGGUAGCCGGACUGAGAGGUUGAACGGCCACAUUGGGACUGAGACACGGCCCAGACUCCUACGGGAGGCAGCAGUGGGGAAUAUUGCGCAAUGGGGGCAACCCUGACGCAGCAACGCCGCGUGAAGGAGAAGGUCUUCGGAUUGUAAACUUUUGUCUUAUGGGACGAAUUUUGACGGUACCUGCAGAAAAGCAACGGCUAACUACGUG
This 479-nucleotide ribosomal RNA is filed under the name uncultured bacterium. RNAcentral describes it as "bacterial SSU rRNA". It matches the Rfam family "Bacterial small subunit ribosomal RNA", at positions 28 to 507 of the family's 1533-position model. The record is from RNAcentral.